GCCUGGCUAGCUCAGUCGGUAGAGCAAGAGACUCUUAAUUUCAGGGUCGUGGGUUUGAGACCCACGUUGGGCG
This 73-nucleotide transfer RNA is filed under the name Danionella translucida. It matches the Rfam family "tRNA". From Rfam's summary of the family: Transfer RNA (tRNA) molecules are approximately 80 nucleotides in length. Their secondary structure includes four short double-helical elements and three loops (D, anti-codon, and T loops). Further hydrogen bonds mediate the characteristic L-shaped molecular structure. tRNAs have two regions of fundamental functional importance: the anti-codon, which is responsible for specific mRNA codon recognition, and the 3' end, to which the tRNAs corresponding amino acid is attached (by aminoacyl-tRNA synthetases). tRNAs cope with the degeneracy of the genetic code in two manners: having more than one tRNA (with a specific anti-codon) for a particular amino acid; and 'wobble' base-pairing, i.e. permitting non-standard base-pairing at the 3rd anti-codon position. Lineage: Eukaryota; Metazoa; Chordata; Actinopteri; Cypriniformes; Danionidae. RNAcentral also lists the same sequence under 1 other name. The record is from Rfam by way of RNAcentral.